UCGAUUGAGUUUGAUCAUGGCUCAGGAUGAACGCUGGCGGCGUGCUUAACACAUGCAAGUCGAACGUGAAGGUGGAGCAAUCCAUCUGAAAGUGGCGAACGGGUGAGUAACACGUGGGUGACCUGCCUCGGGGUGGGGGAUAACCAUGGGAAACCGUGGCUAAUACCGCAUGGGCUUGUUAGACUUGGCGUCUAACGAGUAAAGCUUUAGUGCUUCGAGAGGGGCCUGCGUCCGAUUAGGUAGUUGGUGAGGUAAUGGCUCACCAAGCCGAUGAUCGGUAGCUGGUCUGAGAGGACGAUCAGCCACACGGGAACUGAGAAACGGUCCCGACUCCUACGGGGGGCAGCAGUGAGGAAUAUUGGGCAAUGGACGCAAGUCUGACCCAGCAACGCCGCGUGGAGGAUGAAGGUUCUUGGAUCGUAAACUCCUUUUGCAGGGGAAAAGCAAGGAUGGUACCCUGAGAAUAAGUCACGGCUAACUACGUGCCAGCAGCCGCGGUAAUACGUAGGUGACAAGCGUUAUCCGGAUUUAUUGGGCGUAAAGCGCACGCAGGCGGCCCUUCAAGUCUGACGUGAAAUCUCUCGGCUUAACCGGGAGCGGUCGUUGGAAACUGAGGGGCUUGAGGCGAUGAGAGGGGUGUGGAAUUCCCGGUGUAGUGGUGGAAUGCGUAGAUAUCGGGAGGAACAUCAGUGGCGAAAGCGGCACCCUGGCAUUAGCCUGACGCUCAUGUGCGAAAGCGUGGGGAGCGAACGG
RNAcentral lists this ribosomal RNA (753 nucleotides) under uncultured bacterium. RNAcentral describes it as "bacterial SSU rRNA". It matches the Rfam family "Bacterial small subunit ribosomal RNA", at positions 1 to 775 of the family's 1533-position model. The record is from RNAcentral.